AAAGAAACUGAGGAGCAGCCACGUGAGCACAGCAAGAAGUCGGCCCUUUACAAGCCAGGACGUGGGUCCUCACAAGAAACUGAAUCGUCUGGCAUCUUGAUCUUGGACUUUCAGCCUCCAGAACUGUGAGAAACAAAAGUUUUCUGUGUAAGCCACCCAGUCUGUGGCAUUUGUUAUGGCAGCCCCAAGCCAAUCAAGACAGCCACGGUCCUUAAACAAUGGCCCACAAGACCCUGCAUGUCCAGCCCCUCGCCUGCUUUCUGACCACCUCUCAGACUCCUCUUCCCUGCUUGCUUUCUCCAGCCACCCUGGCCUGCUUGGGAUUCCCUGAAUGCACAGAGCACAUUCCUACCCCAGGGCCUUUGCAGCCCAUCCCUUCCGCCAGGUACACUCUUCUUCCAUGGCAAAGUCCUUCAUUUCCUUCAAUCCUUUAUUCAAAAGUCACCUUCUCAAUGAGGCUGACCAUGAAAACUAUUUAAAACUGCAACUCACCUCCCCCACCCAGCACUUCCCAUCCACCUUACAUCUUCCACUUUUAAAUUUUUUUUCCACGCACUUAUCGCUUUCUGGCAUACGGUAUUCUUUAUUAUGUUUCUUGUCGAUUGCCUGUGACCACCUGCAAGAAUGUAUCUUCCAGAAGAACAGAAAUACUUGUCUGUUUUGUUCACUGAGGAAUCCCAAUGGCCUAGAACUAUGCCUGGCACACAGUUUCUGUUCAAUAAAUAUUUUUUGAUUGAAUGGGCAAACCUCCUCACCCCUGGUGAAACAGCCUGCUAGCCAGGGAGACCAUGUCAUACCAGGAUUGCCCAGCAGAUGGCAGCCGGUGAACGCCAGAGACAGCCGGGAGCCUACGCUGAACUCAAGGUUCCUCCCAGUUAUUAGUUCAAGAUAGCAACCCAGGAAACAAAAUCGAGUUCAACUUACUCCUAAGGCAGACUUGUAUUCAUGAGAAAGAGGGUGUAUGUAGGAGGUGAGCUGCUGAGCUGAUAGAGCCUUUAUCUGAUACAGGAGGCUGUUUACCCACAAUUCACGGUGAAAAACUGAAAACAGCUGUUGAGAAGAACCGAGGUCCCAGUCCUCCCACGGUGGGAAAAGGGGGUGAAAAAGGUCUGCAGCCGGGGAUCUGCAUCCCUCCUCCAAAGGAUGGCAAAGUGACAUUUUCCCGCUACCACCGAGGGAAAGAAGUGACACUAAGAACUAACGCAUCGCCUGGGAGGUGGACGUUUCCUGCCUUCCUCCGAAUACGCCGGAAGAUGCUCUAGUGCAAGAACGUGGAGUCUCCCUCUGCAGUACUGUCCUCUGGGCCCUCCCGAAGUUGCCCUCUUCUUGGUGCUUCUGUUACCCGUGCAAUCAGGGAAUUGAGUUCCCCUGGUAACAAAACCUUCAAAAGCCAAGUCCAAGGUGAACCUACCUUGGAUCAAAUUCGGCAUUUGAGUGUGUCAGGCUAAGGGGAGGCUCCAAGGCAGAUGCUGCUUGUGAAUCUGAGUCUGCUGACCGAGAACUCUCUAAGCCAGCAGGUCAACUUGGUUUCUGCUGCGCUGACGACAAGGGCAAGCAUUUACUGGGCACUUCCUGUGUGCCAGGCAAGUGCUGAGUGCAUCACCUGAACUAGCUCAUUAAUCCUCAGAGAAGCUCUCUGAAGUCCACACUGUCCUCAUCCCCGUCUCACAGAGGACACAAGAGAACUGUCACUUGCCCCAGGACCCAGCAAGUGGCUCUCAAACUCACUCUCAACCACAGGGAGGGAGGGAUCUGCUGAGAUGCACCAUGGAUCCUGAUGGACCUCAGAGAACAGUUAAUCCGGUCCCUCUGUUCACAGAUGGAGAAGCUGAGUCCCAGAGAGGGGAAGGGACUGGCCCAAGUCCACACAGAGAAUGGAAAAGCCUGCCCGAGCACAGCGCACUAAGAAUUAUCCUGCGCCUUGACAUUCUUGGCUAGUGUCAGGAGGUCCCCCUAAGCCCUGAGUCACAGGUUUUUAUUUUAUUUUCCCCAGAUUCCAAAGUGGCUUCAGUCCUUCGUGGGACUAAACACGUCGGCAUAAGAUCUUGUCAAAACAACAGCACAUCCCUUGUUUUAGGACUUUCAUCGAGGAGUAGACUGUCCCACCAGGAUCACCGGCCUCUUGUGAUGUGAAUUCUGGCUUCUGCAGGUCAUUAGCUCGUGUCCCUGGUCAAGCCACUCAACCUCUGAGCUGGUUUGUUCAUCGGUAAAAUGGGGAUACCAAUAUUCGAGAAAGGGUGUAUUAUAUUCCAGGCCAGUGCUGUCCAACACAAAUGUAACGGGAGCCACAGGUGCCAGCGAGAGUGAGAGUUGGCAUCCUUUUAUUUCUUUUGCAAUAACUUUCUUAAGCUCAAGGAUGGAGGCGUGUUUGAUUUUGAAUUUUUUCCUUUUUCUUCUUCUCCCCAAAGCCCCCCAGUACUUAGUUGUAUAUUCUAGUUGCAGGUCCUUCUGGUUGUGCCAUGUGGGACGCCGCCUCAGUGUGGCCUGACGAGCGGUGCCAUGUCCGUGGCCGGCGUCUGAACCGGUGAAACCCUGGGCCGCUGAAGUGGAGCGCACAAACUUAAUCACUCGGCCACAGGGCCGGCCCCUGUGAUUUUAAAUUUUCUAGUAGCCACAUUAAAAAAAGGGUAAAGGAAAAAGCCUAUCUCAAUUUGGACUAGCCACAUUUCCCAUGCGCAGCAGCCACAUGUGGCCAGUGGCUACUGAAUUGGACAGCAUUGUUCUAGGCUUUGAUAAAUAUUCUGAGCACAUGGCCCCAUGUUAAGAGUCUGUGUAUUACCACACAAUCCAGCAAUUCCACUUCCGGGUAUAUACCCGAAGGAAACGAAAACAGGAUUUCAACAAGAUAUAUGCACACCUAUGUCUAUCUCAGCAUUAUUCACAAUAGUCAAGAUAUGGAAACAGCCUAAAUGCCCAUUAAUGGAUGAAUGGAUGAGAAAGAUGUGGUAUAUGUACACAAUGGAAUAUUAUUCAGUCACGAGAAAGGAGGAUAUCCUGCCAUUUGCAACAACAUAGAUGGGCCUUGAGCACAUUAUGCUAAGCAAGAUAAGUCGGACAGAGAAAGACAAGUACGCAGCACCUGGAUUAGCGUUUAGUUGAGUAAAUGAGGACUAUAACCUAGUCGAGCUGACAUAUAACAUCCGCCGUCACCAUCACCCCAAGCACGUUCUGAUGAGUUCUGCCUGCUCUUGGACUUCAAAUAAAUGGAAUCGUAG
RNAcentral lists this long non-coding RNA (3215 nucleotides) under Equus caballus (horse). RNAcentral describes it as "lncRNA (ENSECAG00000048979.1)". The record is from RNAcentral. Lineage: Eukaryota; Metazoa; Chordata; Mammalia; Perissodactyla; Equidae.